Molecule: ribosomal RNA, 301 nt
Filed under: uncultured bacterium
Lineage: Bacteria
Description: partial 16S ribosomal RNA
Rfam family: Bacterial small subunit ribosomal RNA
Source: RNAcentral
CAGCAGCCACGGGAAUACAGAGGGUGCGAGCGUUAAUCGGAUUUACUGGGCGUAAAGCGUGCGUAGGCGGCUUUUUAAGUCGGAUGUGAAAUCCCUGAGCUUAACUUAGGAAUUGCAUUCGAUACUGGGAAGCUAGAGUAUGGGAGAGGAUGGUAGAAUUCCAGGUGUAGCGGUGAAAUGCGUAGAGAUCUGGAGGAAUACCGAUGGCGAAGGCAGCCAUCUGGCCUAAUACUGACGCUGAGGUACGAAAGCAUGGGGAGCAAACAGGAUUAGAGACCCCUGUAGUCCCUGUCUCUUAUAC